CUCCCCGAUUAGCACCAGAGUCUGGUGGAAUCCCCACUUUGUAAGAGAUUUUACACCUCCUCUCAGCAAGUUUAUCACUUAGAGCUAACAUGCCAUUUCUUCCAAAAUCAUCAUCGAUAAAAAUGGCAAUUACCUGCUUCCAACCAUAAUAAUCAACUAUUUCGGCUAUUGCAGCCAUUUGGUAUAAAUCACUUUGUGUUGUCCUAACAAAAAAGGGGAA
Molecule: unclassified non-coding RNA, 220 nt
Filed under: Hevea brasiliensis (rubber tree)
Lineage: Eukaryota; Viridiplantae; Streptophyta; Magnoliopsida; Malpighiales; Euphorbiaceae
Source: RNAcentral